UGCGUAGGCGGUUUGGUAAGUCUGAUGUGAAAUCUCAGGGCUCAACUCUGAGACUGCAUCGGAAACUGCCGGGCUUGAGUAUGGGAGAGGUGAGUGGAAUUCCUGGUGUAGCGGUGAAAUGCGUAGAUAUCAGGAGGAACACCUGUGGCGAAAGCGGCUCACUGGACCAUAACUGACGCUGAUGCACGAAAGCUAGGGGAGCAAACAGGAUUAGAUACCCUGGUAGUCCUAGCCCUAAACGAUGACUGCUUGGUGUGGCGGGUACCCAAUCCCGCCGUGCCGUAGCUAACGCGUUAAGCAGUCCGCCUGGGGAGUACGGUCGCAAGGCUGAA
Molecule: ribosomal RNA, 332 nt
Filed under: uncultured bacterium
Lineage: Bacteria
Description: bacterial SSU rRNA
Rfam family: Bacterial small subunit ribosomal RNA
Source: RNAcentral